This 22-nucleotide microRNA is filed under the name Cervus elaphus (red deer). RNAcentral's name for it is "Cel-miR-495-5p". Lineage: Eukaryota; Metazoa; Chordata; Mammalia; Artiodactyla; Cervidae. The record is from RNAcentral. RNAcentral also lists the same sequence under 1 other name.
GAAGUUGCCCAUGUUCUUUUCG